CACGUCCUGCAGCACUAUCACAAUAAAGUAGAUCCGAUUGCCUUUGUGAAUUUGCAACAGAAUGUGGAGCAAAGAAUCCAAAGGCACUUUCAUCGACAAAACUUCACAAAAACAUAGAAACACUGUUCAAGUUCUGAACCUCAAUUAUACAGAAUUGGAUCAGCUGGCUGACUUUUUAGGGUAUGAUGUUAGGGUACAUAGACAAUAUUACCGACUUCCUGAGGGCACUCUCCAGCUGGCUAAGAUGAGCGAGAUUUUGAUGGCAUUAGAGACUGAAAGACUUGGGGAGUUCAGUGGAAAAAACCUGGAUGAAAUUGACAUUGACUCAAAUGAAGCAGUACUUGUUCAGAUUUGUCAAAGGAUUUGUCCGGAACAGAGAGUGAAUCUGAUGGUGUUAAGAAAAAAAGGAGGUUAAGAAAAAAAAACAAGGGAGACCAGUGAAGUAAACGAAGUUGAAAAGCAUCUGUCCAGGUUCAUCAAAACUUGCACAGUACCAGGAAAAAGCCAUUGUGAGGCUUGCAUACAAGCUGAACCUGUUGCAUUGAAAGACUGGGAUUGGUUGUCUAAGUUCUUUAUAAACAACUGCUCUCAAAAGGAAGAUGUAAUUCAGAAAAUAUUUGCAUGGUUUUAUUUUGUUUUAUACACACACAUCGGUGGCAAUUUUUUUUUUAUAAAAUGACCAUUAAUUUAAUUUUAUUGUACCACUAUAAUGUACAUUUAACAUUUUUUAUGUGACUGAAACUUUUAAGUUUUAAUAAUUGCACUGAAACGGAAGUACUUAUGAUAUGUGGAAAAAUACUGCAUUGCUAAUGGCAACAACUGUUAAAAAUAAGAAAUAAAUAAGGACUGUUGUUGUU
Long non-coding RNA from Trichomycterus rosablanca, 857 nucleotides. RefSeq lists it as uncharacterized. Lineage: Eukaryota; Metazoa; Chordata; Actinopteri; Siluriformes; Trichomycteridae. The transcript is spliced from 3 exons. The record is from RefSeq and is a predicted model, not a curated record.